GACGAACGCUGGCGGCGUGCUUAACACAUGCAAGUCGAACGGAAAGGCCUGCUUUCCCUUGUGGAUUGCGGGUACUCGAGUGGCGAACGGGUGAGUAACACGUGAGUGAUCUGCCCCCAACUUGGGUAUAAGCCUCGGAAACUGGGUCUAAUUCCCGAUAGGACUGCAGGGUGGUGCCUGUGGUGGAAAACGAUUUUCUAGUGGUUGGGGAUGAGCUCGCGGCCUAUCAGCUUGUUGGUGGGGUAAUGGCCUACCAAGGCGGCGACGGGUAGCCGGCCUGAGAGGGUGGACGGCCACAUUGGGACUGAGAUACGGCCCAGACUCCUGCGGGAGGCAGCAGUGGGGAAUAUUGCACAAUGGGCGGAAGCCUGAUGCAGCGACGCCGCGUGGGGGAUGACGGCCUUCGGGUUGUAAACUCCUUUCGACCGCGAGGAAGCCACCUGGUUGGAAGGGUGGUGACGGUAGUGGUAGAAGAAGCACCGGCUAACUACGUG
RNAcentral lists this ribosomal RNA (494 nucleotides) under uncultured bacterium. Its description in RNAcentral is "partial 16S ribosomal RNA". It matches the Rfam family "Bacterial small subunit ribosomal RNA", at positions 28 to 507 of the family's 1533-position model. The record is from RNAcentral.